Molecule: ribosomal RNA, 468 nt
Filed under: uncultured bacterium
Lineage: Bacteria
Description: partial 16S ribosomal RNA
Rfam family: Bacterial small subunit ribosomal RNA
Source: RNAcentral
GACGACCGCUGGCGGCGUGCUUAACACAUGCAAGUCGAACGGAAAGGCCCUGCUUUUGUGGGGUGCUCGAGUGGCGAACGGGUGAGUAACACGUGAGUAACCUGCCCUUGACUUCGGGAUAACUUCAGGAAACUGGGGCUAAUACAGGAUAGGAGCUCCUGCUGCACGGUGGGGGUUGGAAAGUUUCGGCGGUUGGGGAUGGACUCGCGGCUUAUCAGCUUGUUGGUGAGGUAGUGGCUUACCAAGGCUUUGACGGGUAGCCGGCCUGAGAGGGUGACCGGCCACAUUGGGACUGAGAGACGGCCCAGACGCCUACGGGAGGCAGCAGUGGGGAAUAUUGCACAAUGGGCGGAAGCCUGAUGCAGCAACGCCGCGUGCGGAAUGACGGCCUUCGGGUUGUAAACCGCUUUCGCCUGUGACGAAGCGUGAGUGACGGUAAUGGGUAAAGAAGCACCGGCUAACUACGUG